GGCUGCAUAGUGCAAUGACUAGCACGUUCCAUUUUGACUUAUCUUUAAAAGGAGAGAUGUCGGUUCAAAUCCGACUGCGGUCC
Molecule: transfer RNA, 83 nt
Filed under: Orbilia oligospora ATCC 24927
Lineage: Eukaryota; Fungi; Ascomycota; Orbiliomycetes; Orbiliales; Orbiliaceae
Description: Arthrobotrys oligospora ATCC 24927 tRNA
Rfam family: tRNA
About the family: Transfer RNA (tRNA) molecules are approximately 80 nucleotides in length.
Source: Rfam by way of RNAcentral